CUGAUAUCAAGAUUCUUCCAAGUAAGAGUACUCAUAGCAAGAGAACACAAAAAUUGAAAGGUGGAAAGUCAUUUGGUGAAAAACCAAAGGAUUUCCCCAGCGAAGAAAAGUUAGCCCAAAAAAGAAAAGAGAAAAAUGAGGCAAAAACAGAGUAUUGGGAUUUUAUUCAAGGGUGGUUGCCCCUCUCUGUUUAGCCAAUGAUUUUCCUUUUCCACUUAAAAAAAAAAUAAAUCAACAGCCCUUGAAUUCAUGGAAAUAUGUAGUAUACUAUACAGUCUAUACUUCAGCAUCAACAACAACAACCAGAUCUCUGCUUUCUGUCUCCUUUUCUGUGAUUUUAAUUAAUUCCUCCUUUUUGAUACAUAAAACAGUAGAGGCAAUGAUGAUGAUAUUUUCUUAUGAUUCUGGGCUAACUGGGGCGGGCAUAGAGACUAUCCGACCCGUAUCUUGGCCUGGCGAAUCACCGGACGGCGGCGAUCCGAAGGUUUUUACUUUGCAUGCAACCUGUGAUUUUGCAGCCAUGGCGCGGUUGCCUCUCUUUUGCCCGAUCUCUCUUUGCAGAUCUGAGCCUCUUAAGUACUGUGAAAUAGAUCUAAAACUUCUUCUUCUUUGAAUUCCAACUACUUUUUGCCUCCAUCAAACCAAAAGAAUGAAGAUUUUGAGAAAGAUUUGAGUUUCUGUGGUAUGGUUAAUUACUUUAAAAUCAAAAGCAUUUUCUCCACUAUGACUCUAUGUAAGAAAAAUUAUUUUCUAAAUAAUUUCAUUAUGUCAAACAUGUGUUUCUUAGGACAUGCAAAACCAAAAUAUUCCCAUUCAUGAUUGAACACAGCAGAGAAAACCAAAAGCUCAGAGACAAAGAAUGAGGGUUGGAGAGAGUAGAGGGAAGCUCAAGGGUAGCUGCUCCUCUCUACAAUUCCUGUGAUUUCAUUCCUGCAGUAAACUAUAUCCGAACGACCACUCCCAGAAAGAGAAUCAAUAGUAAUAAUAAUUAUAAUUGUAGCAAAAACCUGAGGCUGUGAUUGUGAUUUUUUCUUCUGUCUCUGAGCAACUUGAUUAGGGCAGGAGAAUAAUCGGAACCGUAACUUGGCGGGGCAACUCGGACGGUGAUGACUUGCAACCGGCGUUUACAGCCAUGGCGGUGUCUCCAAUCUCUUCCCUUAUUAUCAUUAUUACAGAUGUGAGCCUCAAUUGGAAGGUUAUUUUCUUAAGUUCAAACUUACAGGCUCUUUUCCGUUAAAUUUUGAAAUUCGCAGGUGAAAAGCCCACGAGAAUUUCCCCUAAAAAAUGCAAAAAGGUUAGCCUAGAAAGAAAUGAGUCAAAACAGAGAGUAUUGGGACUUUCAUUAGAAGGGUGGUUGCCCCUCUCUGUUCCGCCAUUGAUUUUCCUCCAUUUUCAGAACAAACCAACAGCCCUUGUUUAUGACAAAAGCAGAAGCAGACAGGAUUUAAGUGCGCGUUUGGACAUAAGAAUUUGAAAUUCCUGAAAAAAGUAAAAUCCUUUUCAGUGUAAUCUGUAUUUACUUUUUGUGUUUGUGUGUGUGUUUAUGUUGCUAAUGGAAGUUACAUAAAGAGGCAGUGAUGAUGAUGUUUCUUGUAUCUGGGCUAACCGAUUUGGGCAUAGAGAUGAGCCACCCGUAUCUUGGUGUGGCAACCCGGUAUGGCCUGUGAUUGAGGUUUCUGUCUUUCACUUGCAACUGGUGUUUUGCAGCCAUGGCGUAGCUGGCUUCUCUUUGCCUUAUCAUAACACAUCUGAGCCCCAUUUGCUGAAAAGAAAAAAAAAAGAUAAUCUUUUCUAUUAUUUGGAUUAACAGGAAAAUAGGAAGGGAAGCUUUGGAGCAAUGGUAAAGUUAUUUUCAUGUGACUAGCGGUGGCAAAAUGGUUAAAAGAAAACAAUUAUCCAUCAUAUUAUCCAUUAAAAAAUGAGUUGGAUAAUGAACUUUUUAAAAAUAGGUCAAAUAUGGAUAAGAACCAUAUUAUCCACUUAGAAAAUGGAUAACCAAUGGAUAACUAAUGGGCUUAACUUUUACAUUUGUAAAGCCUCAAAUCGUGGGUUUCUCAAGUUCGGGAGACUUGGAAUUCUCCCAAAAAUGAUCAUAUUCAAGAAGCCAUGGAUAAUAUGAAUAUCCAUAUUAUCCGCCGAUUAACCCGUUUUUAUCCAUAUUAGAUUAGAUAUGGGUCGGGUCGGAUAAUUUAUCCGUAUUUUGCAUUAUCCAUUUUUCGACCCAUCCAUAUACGACCUGACCCACCCGUUUGCCACCCCUACGUGUGACCUAGCCACCCCUACGUGUGACCUAUAGGUCACGGUUUUGAGCUAUGAAAGUAGCUACUAAUGCUUAAUUAGGGUAUGCUGUUUACAUCACACCCCUUGAGUGUGACCCUUUGCCGGAUCCCGCGUGAACGCGGGAUGCCUUGUGCAUCGGGUUGCCCUUGCAUUAACAAGAAAAUAGCAAAAAACGCAUUAGUUUAAUCUGAGGUUGCGGUGAAGGCAAAGAGGUGUAGGGAAUUUCAUUGGGUGGUUUUGCUGCCUCUCUGUCAAUUCUCCGCCGCCAAUGAUCACUCAAAUGUCCGACUGCAAAACCACCCGAUGGGUGAACCGUGAAAAUACGUAUUACUCCCCCUGUUUCAAUUUAUGCGACGCGAUGAGGCUAGUAAGAUUUUAUUCUUCUAUGGAAGAUCAACCAGACAUAUAAAUCUAUUGAGCUGGGAAAAAUUGUAAUCUUGGCGUGGCAGCUCAGAUAGGUCUGUGAGAUAAUGGAGAAAAAUCCAAAUGUUUUGUGUGUUUUUCUCCUGUUUCAUAAGAUUAACUGAUGUUUGCAGCCAUGGUGGUCUUUUUCCAAAGCUUUUUGUUGUCUGAGCAAAGGCAAAUCUGAGCCUACCCCAUUGUCUGGAUUAAACGUGCUGGGAUGAUAAAUACUACUACCCCAUUGUCUGGAUUAAACGUGCUGGGAUGAUAAAUACUACUUCUAGGGUGGCUUAAAGAAAUGAGGCAAAACAGAUGGGAUUUUCUUUAAAGGGUGGUUGCCCCUCUCUGUUUUGCUGUUGAUUUUCCUCUAUUCAGAAAAUACCAACAGCUCUUGUCAUGGAAAAAGAAGAAACAAGAACUGGAAAUAUAAUUAAACAAUACUGCUCUUCCCAAACUAGCCUGAGCCAGGGGUCUCUUGGAAAUAGCGUCUCUACCUGCACAAGGUUUUUGUUGUUGUUGUUGCUCUCCUCACGCUACUACAUAUCUGUGUUUCCUCUGGUGUGGUGUGUUGUUUUUUUGGUGUUGAUGGGAGGUACAAAGGGAGGCUGUGAUGAUGAUGUUUCUAUAUCUGGGCUAACGAAUUAGGCUCGGAGAUUAUCCAGCCCGUGUCUUGGCUUGGCAACCCAACAUGGCUUGUGACUGAGACUUCUUUCUCUCACAUGCAAUCGGUGUUUGCAGCCACGGCGUGGUUGGCUUCUCUUUAGCUCUAUCUUAACACGCAUCUGAGCCUUUUUCUUUAUUUGGUAUGAUAAUGACAUGGUUGAGCUUAAAUGGAGGAACAUGGUUAGUGACGAUUCAUAUAGCUGACCCCAACUUGUAUGGGACAGAGGCAUAGCUGUAGUUGUUGUUGUUGUACAUCCGAGCCCUUAAAACGUAGCCUGAAGUCGUCCUAUUUGUGAAAAUCUUGCUUUCCUUUCUGGGCUAUGUUCAAUCACGUUAUUGUGAAGUUACUCAAACCUGCAUCUUGGCAGGGUGACCCAGUAUGGCUUUAUGUAGCAAACUGGUGUCUGCAGCCAUAGCGUCAUCGCAUUCUCUUUUGUUUUGUUUGGAAAUCGCCUUCUCCGGCAAGCCCAUGAUUUCUCUUUUGGUUGCCAAUAGCCAUCUUCACAUUUUUCUCUCAAUUCACAUUGUGCGUGUGUUGUAUUUUUUCCUGUUGAUGAUGUUGUCCUCCAGUGUGUUUCUGUUUUCAACAAUUUCAAAAUUCAAAAAUCCUCAUAAUUUUCUGAGACCUGCAUUCCACACAUUUUGCAUCAAUUUUUUGCUCAAUCUUCCAAUUUCGAAUCAAAGAAUGAGCAAAAUAGGGAAAUGAGAUUUUUAUGUACGAUUUUUUCCUCCCCAUCUUUCAAUGAGGACCAAAUUUCAAAUCUCUCUUUCGACAUACAGCAGAUGAGUUUUGCAAUUUUUUUAAUUCUGUGAAUCCAAAUUAAAAAGGGAAUUGUUCAAAAACCAAAUUUGGGCUAUAAUUUUGUCUUUGCUCCCAUAUCAGAAAGCGAGUCUCAUCUCCAAUAUCAAUGUUCCUUGUGAUUUUAUAAGUUAACGUGUCUUCAUGUUUGCUUCCUACGAUAAUACCUCGAAUUUAUGAAGAUCCAUUUUGAAUCAUGCAGUAGCUGCUGUCCGUAACUUUAUAUGUUUACACCAUUGGUGCUCCUUAGUGCAUAACUGCUAUGUUGUUGUGCUUUUCUGCCUUGGUGUUGAGAUUCUUCCUUGUAUGCACUUGUGGCUAAUUUAAACAGUAUUUGCUAGAGUUCAUGUAAAAGGGAUGUGAUAAUACUUAUUGCACUUUCUUUUUAUUACUAAUCAGGAAUGACCUAAUCCGUAUUUGGCUUGGCAACACGGUCUGGAUUGUGAUUGAGAUCGCUCUUGCAUGCAACCAGUGUUUUGCAGCCAUGGCAUGAUGCAGUGAUGAUGAUGUUUUGUAUAUCUGUGCUAACUGAUUCGUGCAUGGAGAUGACCUGACCAGUAUCUCGGCAUGGCAACCCGGUAUGGCCUCUGAUUGAGCUCUAUUUGCAUGCAACUGGUGUUCUGCUGCCAUUGCGUGGUGGCCUUCCCUUUUGCCUUCUUCUAGUAUGGAUCUGAGCCUCAAUAUACUUCAGAAAAAGAACCUUUUUCUUGGUUCAAGGGGUGUGAUUGAGCCUUCGGCCUUCAGGUUACAUAUUAGAAGAAAAAGCAUUUUGCAUCCUUAAAUGCCUGUUGUUGAAGUUGUUCCUCUGCUAACUGUGUUUUCAACACAUCGAAACCGUGAUAACAACUGAUAAUGCUUCAAUCCCGAACUUGGUGGGAAAAUUUCUUUCAACUUCUGGAAUAAAACUCGGGUCUCUUGAGUGAGAGCCAGAUAUCCUAGCUGAUUGGACUACAACGGCAAAACGAGGACAUAAUACAGAACUGAAAAGGCUGUGGUGAUAAUUCCUGUACACAAGGAAUUGAGGAUUGAGUUGAAGAGGCUCGCCUUUUGGCGGGGCAACCCGAUUUUGAAGGUGCCUUAAGGCCCAGAUGCGGCUUGGGUUGCAGCCAUGGCAGUCUGCUCAUUGCCCUAUCAUUAUACACAUCUGAGCCGCCUUCUUAUUUUAGAUGAUGUUAACCUUCUUGGCUCUAGGAUACAGUGGUAAAUGGAGCAUUUGAAGCAUUGUAUGAAACAGAUCCUGUUUACGUUAAGCUGCAAAUGCGUUUGUACACUUGAAAACAAAUGCGUUUGUACACUUGAAAAAGUAUGGUUCAUAGUAUGGCUCAUCUGAGAAGGACUAAACUGGCUUGGAGUUGACCAACACGUUAUUGAAAUUGGAAGUUCUCUGCGGUGCCACAGAAGUGAUGAACGUAUCAUUUAAACAACUUUGAAUUUCUUUCUUAUUGUCCGGGCAAUGUUAUUCCCCUUAAUUGUGAUAGAUAUUCUAUAUAGAUAUGACUUAUGAGGCUGCAGAGGGAUGAGAAGCUUCUAAGGGCUCUUCGUGAAGGUUUCACUCCUCAUAAACCCAUCCCGCAAUUCUCUAAAUUGAAGCCAUCCUUCUUCUACUGACUUGUGAUAUCUUGACGAGCAUUUUCCUUGAUUUCUAGUAAAGUUUGGCAUUUGCGGUUACUGGUAUUGAAAGUUGCUUUAAGCAGUGUUCAGGCAUUUACAACAACCAAUUUUAUCAGGGAAAAAGCAAAUGGAGGUUACAGUACCGGAUUUUUCUUGUGCUCUUAUAUUUGGGAUUUGUUGCAAGUCUUCUACUAGAUUAAAUUCUCGUGCUCCAGGUGGUUCAAACUUAAGUUUCUGAUUAUUCAACGAGAUGCUAUUUGUGGUGUCUUUCCAUGGGUUUCAAGUAAGCUUCAACACAGCUUGGAGAAGAAAUGAGAUUUUGACAAGAUUGCUUGCCUCUUUCUGCUAUGUUUAUUUCCUUUUCUGAGCAGAAGAACCAACAAGCCCUCUUUUAGCUGUAAGCUGUGAUAAUUUCUAAUCUUCAAUCCACUAAAACCCCAGGGAAGGCUGUGAUCAUCUUUCUUUUCUUGUUUUCAGUUUCUCCAUGCUAACUUGUUUAGGACUAAGUUGUAGUUGUAUAUUCUGAGAAAGUUCUUAGUGAGAAGAGCGAAGCUAAAUCUUAUUUGUUUACUGGCGAUUGCACCCAGUGAUAUGUGUUGAAAUUGUUUAGUGUGUCUAAGUUAUUUUUUUUUUCUCGUUCCAUAAUUUUAAGUGAUUGGGUUUCGUUUGGCUUACGGCUA
Non-coding RNA from Nicotiana tabacum (common tobacco), 6435 nucleotides. Lineage: Eukaryota; Viridiplantae; Streptophyta; Magnoliopsida; Solanales; Solanaceae. The record is from RefSeq and is a predicted model, not a curated record.